UACGGAAGGCAGCAGUGGGGAAUAUUGCACAAUGGGCGAAAGCCUGAUGCAGCUAUGCCGCGUGUAUGAAGAAGGCCUUAGGGUUGUAAAGUACUUUUCAUCGGGGAGGAAAAAACAAAACUAAUAAUUUUAUUUCUUGACGUUACCCGAAAAAGAAGCACCGGCUAACUCCGUGCCAGCAGCCGCGGUAAUACGGAGGGUGCUAGCGUUAAUCAGAAUUACUGGGCGUAAAGAGCACGUAGGUGGUUUUUUUUAAGUCAGAUGUGAAAUCCCUGGGCUUAACCUAGGAACUGCAUUUUGAAACUGAAAUACUAGAGUAUCGUAGAGGGAGGUAGAAUUCUAGGUGUAGCGGUGAAAUGCGUAGAUAUCUGGAGGAAUACCUGUGGCGAAAGCGGCCUCCUAAACGAAUACUGACACUGAGGUGCGAAAGCGUGGGGAGCAAACAGGGAUUAGAUACC
RNAcentral lists this ribosomal RNA (458 nucleotides) under uncultured bacterium. RNAcentral describes it as "bacterial SSU rRNA". It matches the Rfam family "Bacterial small subunit ribosomal RNA", at positions 340 to 786 of the family's 1533-position model. The record is from RNAcentral.